Molecule: ribosomal RNA, 454 nt
Filed under: Actinomadura sp. YN-7-2
Lineage: Bacteria; Bacillati; Actinomycetota; Actinomycetes; Streptosporangiales; Thermomonosporaceae
Description: bacterial SSU rRNA
Rfam family: Bacterial small subunit ribosomal RNA
Source: RNAcentral
GCGGAAGGCCCCUUCUGGGGUACUCGAGCGGCGAACGGGUGAGUAACACGUGAGCAACCUGCCCCUGACUCUGGGAUAAGCCCGGGAAACUGGGUCUAAUACCGGAUGUGACCAGCCUCCGCAUGGAGUGCUGGUGGAAAGUUUUUCGGUUGGGGAUGGGCUCGCGGCCUAUCAGCUUGUUGGUGGGGUGAUGGCCUACCAAGGCGACGACGGGUAACCGGCCUGAAAGGGCGACCGGUCACACUGGGACUGAAACACGGCCCAGACUCCUACCGGAGGCAACAGUGGGGAAUAUUGCGCAAUGGGCGGAAGCCUGACCCAACGACGCCGCGUGAGGGAUGACGGCCUUCGGGUUGUAAACCUCUUUCAACAGGGACGAAACUAACGUGACGGUACCUGCACAAAAAACCCCGGCUAACUACCUGCCAGCACCGCGGGUUAUUUAAAUUAAUAC